CCCUUAGAUGUUCUGGGCCGCACGCGCGCUACACUGACAGAGCCAGCGAGUUAUUUCACCUUGGCCGGAAGGCUCCGGGUAAUCUUGUGAAACUCUGAUCGUGCUUUGGGGUCGAGCAUUGCAAUUAUUGCUCGUGAACGAGGAAUACCUAGUAAGCGCAAGUCAUCAGACUGCAUCGAUUACGUCCCUGCCCUUUGUACACACCGCCCGUCGCUCCUACCGAUUGAAUGCUCAGGUGAGCCAUUCGGACUUUCAUCAUGCUGGUUUCCAGUUUUGAUGAAGGAAAGUCUUGCGAACCUUAUCAUUUAGAGGAAGGAGAAGUCGUAACA
Molecule: ribosomal RNA, 329 nt
Filed under: uncultured eukaryote
Lineage: Eukaryota
Description: partial 18S ribosomal RNA
Rfam family: Eukaryotic small subunit ribosomal RNA
Source: RNAcentral